GACGAACGCUGGCGGCGUGCUUAACACAUGCAAGUCGAACGGAAAGGCCCUGCUUUUGUGGGGUGCUCGAGUGGCGAACGGGUGAGUAACACGUGAGUAACCUGCCCUUGACUUUGGGAUAACUUCAGGAAACUGGGGCUAAUACCGGAUAGGAGCUCCUGCUGCAUGGUGGGGGUUGGAAAGUUUCGGCGGUUGGGGAUGGACUCGCGGCUUAUCAGCCUGUUGGUGGGGUAGUGGCUUACCAAGGCUUUGACGGGUAGCCGGCCUGAGAGGGUGACCGGCCACAUUGGGAAUGAGAUACGGCCCAGACUCCUACGGGAGGCAGCAGUGGGGAAUAUUGCACAAUGGGCGGAAGCCUGAUGCAGCAACGCCGCGUGCGGGAUGACGGCCUUCGGGUUGUAAACCGCUUUCGCCUGUGACGAAGCGUGAGUGACGGUAAUGGGUAAAGAAGCACCGGCUAACUACGUG
This 468-nucleotide ribosomal RNA is filed under the name uncultured bacterium. RNAcentral describes it as "partial 16S ribosomal RNA". It matches the Rfam family "Bacterial small subunit ribosomal RNA", at positions 28 to 507 of the family's 1533-position model. The record is from RNAcentral.